CUGAUCUGCAUACUCGUGUCUUCUUCGUUUCUCGGUAGGUCAGCUUGUUGUGAGCGUCGUCUGGUUACCGUCUCUGUAAAGUGAGGCAUGUUUGGAGUAAUGCUGACUGUAAUGAAGGAUUUGAGCUCUGUGCUGUUACAGACGGGAAAGACAAUCUGUUGGAUUGGUUGGGUAUCAGAGGUUGUGAUCUUCCCCCUCUUCUCUGAUGUAAACUUCAGGUGAAACCAAAGGAAAAUCACUGAGAUUGAUCUGGAGUCCUGAGUGCCUCCCAGACCAGGCUUGUGUUUAAUUGGACCAGGUUUCCAGUUUGCUCUGGGGCUGAACUGGCAAAUGAAUCCCACUGAUGAGUCCCAGUAAACAAUAACACAAACUGACAUUUGCCAGUGAGGAUCCUGUUGCCAAGAUUUUCAGUGGCAGAAAUAGACAAAGGUAGCCUGUUUUUUUAACUAAAUGUCACAGGAAUCAUGUUGAAGAUGCUCUAGUCCCCUCAUCAGAACAGAUGCACAACAAACGAAGUGAACUUUAAGAGCUCUCAGGAGAAACUGCUUGUGAAUGAACACCAGCCGGCUAAUAACACACUAAUAACGCACUACAUAAAAAUCACAAAUGAGAUCUCAGCUGAUUCGCAUCAAUUUUUUUUUAAGAAAACUGAGAAAAACA
Sinocyclocheilus anshuiensis is the source of this 660-nucleotide long non-coding RNA. RefSeq lists it as uncharacterized. The record is from RefSeq and is a predicted model, not a curated record. Lineage: Eukaryota; Metazoa; Chordata; Actinopteri; Cypriniformes; Cyprinidae. The transcript has 3 exons.